This 118-nucleotide small nuclear RNA is filed under the name Citrus sinensis (sweet orange). RNAcentral's name for it is "U5 spliceosomal RNA". It matches the Rfam family "U5 spliceosomal RNA". From Rfam's summary of the family: U5 RNA is a component of both types of known spliceosome. The precise function of this molecule is unknown, though it is known that the 5' loop is required for splice site selection and p220 binding, and that both the 3' stem-loop and the Sm site are important for Sm protein binding and cap methylation. Lineage: Eukaryota; Viridiplantae; Streptophyta; Magnoliopsida; Sapindales; Rutaceae. The record is from Rfam by way of RNAcentral.
UGCCGUGUGGUGAGCACAGAGCGAACUAAUCUUUUUCCUUUCACUAAGGAAUAUCGUGUGCUCGCCACUUUUAGCAGCGUACUCCAAUUUUUGGAAGAGCUUUACUCUUAUUAAAAAA